GACGAACGCUGGCGGCGUGCUUAACACAUGCAAGUCGAACGGUAAGGCCCUUCGGGGUACACGAGUGGCGAACGGGUGAGUAACACGCGGGUGAUCUGCUCUGCACUUCGGGAUAAGCCUGGGAAACUGGGUCUCAUACCGGAUAGGACUCCGGAAUGCAUGGCCUGGGGUGGCAAGCUUUUGCGGUGUGGGAUGGGCCCGCGGCCUGUCAGCUUGUUGGUGGGGGGAUGGCCUACCAAGGCGACGACGGGUAGCCGGCCUGAGAGGGUGACCGGCCACACUGGGACUGAGAUACGGCCCAGACUCCUACGGGAGGCAGCAGUGGGGAAUAUUGCACAAUGGGCGCAAGCCUGAUGCAGCGACGCCGCGUGAGGGAUGACGGCCUUCGGGUUGUAAACCUCUUUCAGCACCGACGAAGCGCAAGUGACGGUAGGUGCAGAAGAAGGACCGGCCAACUACGUGCCAGCAGCCGCAGUAA
RNAcentral lists this ribosomal RNA (478 nucleotides) under uncultured bacterium. Its description in RNAcentral is "partial 16S ribosomal RNA". It matches the Rfam family "Bacterial small subunit ribosomal RNA", at positions 28 to 523 of the family's 1533-position model. The record is from RNAcentral.